UUAGCCUCCCAAAGUGCUGGGAUUACAAGCAUGAGUCACUGUGCCCAGCCCAGCUUUGCUUUCUUUGAUCACUUUUUUUUUUUUUUUUGAAACAGUCUCACUCUAAUUCCCAGGAUAGAGUGCAGUGGUGCUAUCAUAGUUCACUGCAACAUUGACCUUCUGGGCUCAACCUAUCCUCCCACUUCUGUCUUUGGAGUAGCUAGGUGUGCACCACCACACCCAGCUAAUUUUUUUCAUUUUUUUAUGUUUUGUACGGUGUUUCAUUUUCUGUUCUUGUGUCAGUUUGCUGAGGAUGACAUUCUCCAGAUUCAUCCAUGUCCCUACAAACGACACAAACUCAUCAUUUCUGAUUGCUGCAUAAUAUUCCAUGGUGUAUAUGUGCCACAUUUUUCCAAUCCAGUCUAUGAUCAAUGGGCAUUUGGGUUGAUUCCAGGUCUUUGCUAUUGUAAACAGUGCUGCAAUGAACAUUCGUGUACAUGUGUCCUUAUAGUAGAAUGAUUUAUAGUCUUUUGGAUAUAUACCCAGUAAUGGGAUUGCUGGGUCAAAUGGAAUUUCUAUUUCUAAGGCCUUGAGGAAUCGCCACACUCUCUUCCACAAUGGUUGAACUAAUUUACACUCUCACCAACAGUGUAAAAGUGUUCCUUUUUCUCCACAUCCUCUCCAGCAUCUGUUGUCUCCAGAUUUUUUAAUGAUCGCCAUUCUAACUGGCGUGAGAUGGUAUCUCAAUGUGGUUUUGAUUUGCAUCUCUCUGAUGACCAGUGACGAUGAGCAUUUUUUCAUAUGAUUGUUGGCCUCAUAUAUGUCUUCUUUUGUAAAGUGUCUGCUCAUAUCCUUUGCCCACUUUUGAAUGGGCUUGUUUUUUUCCUGUAAAUCCGUUUGAGUUCUUUGUAAAUUCUGGAUAUCAGCCCUUUGUCAGAUGGGUAAACUGCAAAAAUGUUUUCCCAAUCUGUUGGUUGCCGAUCCACUCUAGUGACUGUUUCUUUUGCCGUGCAGAAGCUGUGGAGUUUGAUUAGGUCCCAUUUGUCUAUUUUGGCUUUUGUUGCCAAUGCUUUUGGUGUUUUGUUCAUGAAGUCCUUGCCUAUGCCUAUGUCCUGGAUGGUUUUGCCUAGAUUUCCUUCUAGGGUUUUUAUGGUGCCAGGUCUUAUGUUUAAGUCUUUAAUCCAUCUGGAGUUAAUUUUAGUGUAAGGUAUCAGGAACGGGUCCAGUUUCUGCUUUCUGCACAUGGCUAGCCAGUUUUCCCAACACCAUUUGUUAAACAGGGAAUCCUUUCCCCCUUGCUUGUUUUUGUCAGGUUUAUCAAAGAUUGUAUGGUUGUAGCUAUGUUGUGUUGCCUCCGGUGCCUCUGUUUUGUUCCAUUGGUCUAUAUCUCUGUUUUGGUACCAGUAGCAUGCUGUUUUGAUUACUGUAGCCUUGUAGUAUAGUUUGAAAUCCGGUAGUGUGAUGCCCCCCGCUGUGUUCUUUUUGCUUAGAAUUGACUUGGCUAUGCGGGCUCUCUUUUGGUUCCAUAUGAAGUUCAUGGUGGUUUUUUCCAGUUCUGUGAAGAAAGUCAAUGGUAGCUUGAUGGGGAUAGCAUUGAUUCUGUAAAUUACUUUGGGCAGUAUAGCCAUUUUCACAAUAUUAAUUCUUCCUAAGCAUGAACAUGGAAUGUUUCUCCAUCUGGUUGUGUCCUCUCUUAUUUCGUUGAGCAGUGGUUUGUAGUUCUCCUUGAAGAGGUCCCUUACGUUCCUUGUGAGUUGUAUUCCAAGGUAUUUUAUUCUUUUUGUAGCAAUUGUGAAUGGCAGUUCGUUCUUGAUUUGGCUUUCUUUAAGUCCGUUAUUGGUGUAUAGGAAUGCUUGUGAUUUUUGCACAUUGAUUUUAUAUCCUGAGACUUUGCUGAAGUUGCUUAUCAGUUUCAGGAGUUUUUGGGCUGAGGUGAUGGGGUCUUCUAGGUAUACUAUCAUGUCGUCUGCAAAUAGAGACAAUUUGGCUUCCACCUUUCCUAUUUGAAUACCCUUUAUUUCUUUUUCUUGCCUGAUUGCUCUGGCUAGAACUUCCAGAACUAUAUUGAAUAGGAGUGGUGAAAGAGGGCAUUCUUGUCUAGUGCCAGAUUUCAAAGGGAAUGCUUCCAGUUUUUGCCCAUUCAGUAUGAUAUUGGCUGUUGGUUUGUCAUAAAUAGCUUUUAUUACUUUGAGAUACGUUCCAUCGAUACCGAGUUUAUUGAGGGUUUUUAGCAUAAAGGGCUGUUGAAUUUUGUCAAAUGCCUUCUCUGCGUCAAUUGAGAUAAUCAUGUGGUUUUUGUUUUUGGUUCUGUUUAUGUGGUGAAUUACAUUGAUAGACUUGUGUAUGUUGAACCAGCCUUGCAACCCUGGGAUGAAUCCUACUUGAUCAUGGUGAAUAAGUUUUUUGAUUUGCUGUUGCAUUUGGCUUGCCAAUAUUUUAUUGAAGAUUUUUGCAUCUAUGUUCAUCAUGGAUAUUGGCCUGAAGUUUUCUUUUCUUGUUGGGUCUCUGCUGGGUUUUGGUAUCAGGAUGAUGUUGGUCUCGUAAAAUGAUUUGGGAUGUAUUCCCUCUUUUUGGAUUGUUUGAAAUAGUUUUAGAAGGAAUGGUACCAGCUCCUCUUUGUGUGUCUGGUAGAAUUCGGCUGUGAACCCGUCUGGACCUGGGCUUUUUUUGUGUGGUAGGCUCUUAAUUGCUGCCUCAACUUCUGACCUUGUUAUUGGUCUAUUCAUAGUUUCAGCUUCCUCCUGGUUUAGGCUUGGGAGGACACAGGAGUCCAGGAAUUUAUCCAUUUCUUCCAGGUUUACUAGUUUAUGUGCAUAGAGUUGUUUGUAAUAUUCUCUGAUGAUGGUUUGAAUUUCUGUGGAAUCUGUGGUGAUUUCCCCUUUAUCAUUUUUUAUUGCAUCUAUUUGGUUGUUCUCUCUUUUCUUUUUAAUCAAUCUGGCUAGUGGUCUGUCUAUUUUGUUGAUCUUUUCAAAAAACCAGCUCUUGGAUUUAUUGAUUUUUUGAAGGGUUUUUCGUGUCUCAAUCUCCUUCAGUUCAGCUCUGAUCUUAGUUAUUUCUUGUCUUCUGCUGGGUUUUCAGUUUUUUUGAUCUUGUUCCUUUAGCUCUUUCAAUUUUGAUGAUAGGGUGUCAAUUUUGGUUCUCUCCAUUCUCCUCAUAUGGGCACUUAUUGCUAUAUACUUUCCUCUAGAGACUGCUUUAAAUGUGUCCCAGAGGUUCUGGCAUGUUAUGUCUUCGUUCUCUUUGGUUUCGAAGAACUUCUUUAUUUCUGACUUCAUUUCAUUGUUUACCCAGUCAACAUUGAAGAGCCAGUUGUUCAGUUUCCAUGAAGCUGUGCGGUUCUGGGUUGGUUUCUGUAUUCUGAGUUCUAACUUGAUU
Callithrix jacchus (white-tufted-ear marmoset) is the source of this 3354-nucleotide long non-coding RNA. NCBI's taxonomy places the organism in Eukaryota, Metazoa, Chordata, Mammalia, Primates, Cebidae. The record is from Ensembl.